GCAAGUAACAGACCUAACACAUCUCAACUAUCACUUCCCUCUUUCUAUACCCUCCCCUGCUGACUACUUCAAAGUGUCUCCAGGAGAAGUCGUAAUACCGUGAUGCUGGCAUGCAGACCAUGAGCUGACCAUUGGAGAACAACUGUCUUCUCACUUCGUGCCACCUGGAAAAUCCACCCUUUUUUGCCUCCACUCAGUGCUGCUCUGACCUUGAGAGCAAGGUCAGGAGGGAGAAUGCUGAGAUGAAACCUUGUCACCGCUCAUUCAGUGUUCUGCACAGAGAUGCUGGGAGGCCCAGGGAUGCCCCGCGUCUCAGUUUCUCCGGAGUGAAUUGUAGUCAGAACCAUUCAGCUAGCAGUUAUCAACCACCAACUAGAUGGCAGGCCCUGGGCUGUACUUCACACGUGUUUUUUCACUUAGUUCUCGAAGCAGCCCCUAUCAGGCACGGCUGAAGAGGGUGUGUACGUGAUCUGCAUCUACAAAGAACACCUGACUUAUUAAGAAAUCUCUACUCUUCGAGCCAAGAAAUGUUACCAAGGGCCCACAACGACCGGUGCAUCGGCCCUGCUUUUCUUCCUGAGCGGGACUCCUGGAAGACUGUGUCCCUUGGUGCUCUCCCCACUCAGAGAUUCCUCUGCUGCUCAGCAGGCAACAUAAGCCACACCCAACAGUAUCUUUUGUAUUUGUUAGCAUUUAUUGAGUGUUUACUGUGUGCCAUGCACGGCACCUAGUAUUUCCCCGCAUUGUCUCAACUGAUACGAUAACCGAAUCACCCAGGUAGCAUUUGCAUCCCUAUUUUAUACACAAGUAACCAAGCCUGGAGAACUGAAGAGUCCACCAGAGGUCAUAUGUCACCAAUGGUGAAACCUGGAUUUCAACCCAGGCCUUCAGACUCCAGAGACUGUGUGCUAACCCCUGGUAUACACUGCCUCCCCAAAGACUACUUACAGGGCCCUCCAAGUGCACAUGAAAGGGGACCUUCGGAGGCUUCUGUUGUUCCGAUUUGAGCAGGAAAGCAUGCACACGUUCAAUGGAAGUGCAAACUUUACAAGUAGCCCUUUUGCAUUUCGUUAAAGGUUGCUGUGCCUGUGGCAUUUCUCCUCAAUGGGCCAUAAGCUCCGAAAGGGCAGGAACUGUGUGGGGUAUUUUUUGUGUCUCUCACACCUAGCAAAGUGCCUGGCAUCCAGCAGGUGUUUUGGAAAUGUGUUUCAAAGAGGGCAGUGAGGAUAAUGAUAAUAAUGAUGCUGCAUCCUGGGCCCGGUUGACCUUUCUAGCCCGGCUUCCCACACUUCUCCUUCAGGCGGUCUAUGUACCAGCCGAGCUGACCUCUCCCAGUCCCAAAGACACACCAAGGUUUUUGCACCUGUGUGCCUUUGCCCACAAUGUGGCCUCCACCUGGAAUGUUGUCCUCUGCUCUCCCAAGCUUCCUUCAGGGCCCAUCUCAAAUACCACCUCCUCAAGGAGGCCUCUUGGGCUCUUCUCUCAGCUAGAAAUAAUCUCCCAUCUCUCUGAACUCCCUUAGCUCCUGUUAGUUCCUUCCCUUCCUCCCCCUCCUUCUUCUCAGUGUCUUAAUGUGAUGCUGAAGUGAGCUAAUGUUCUAGAAAGCUCUUUGUAAGCCAGAAGGCAAUAUCCAAACAUGAAGGCUUAUGCUCAUAGCUCAUCGACUAAGGAAUAAGAUUGUCAACGGCGUCAGGUUCAACAUUACCCCGCACAGGACCUCACACACCCAAGGCACAAGGAGCUUUUGCUGAAAGCCUGUCUGCAGGCUUCUCUCCCUCUUCCUUGGAGCCACGUUUACGCCCUUCCAAUCAGGCUGAGGUGACUUUCAUCAGACCAAAGUAAAGUCUUAUUAGGAAUGAAUUAGAAAACCAUGAGAAAGGAAAAAAUGGGACUGUCUACUGAACACCCCUGCCUAAGGAUUUUCAGGUGCACUAAACUGGAUUUCCAAGCCUCCUUUGCAGUGAGGUGUUGCCAUGCGAGUGAGUUUAAACGAUGGACUGGGAGCACCUCUUCUAGGUCUGGGCCCAAGAAAUCUCCUUCUAGCAACAUCUAGUUGUUUCCAGAUGACCUGAGAAGCCACAAUUUAAAGAUGACAGAAUUUGACUGUGUGGAUUCCAGCUGCCAAAAGGACUUCACAUAAGAGAGAAACUAACUUCUAUUGUUCAACCUACUCAGAUCUGGCAGCUUGUCUUCUAUAACCACCAGCAUUGCCCUAACUAAUACAGUAUAACCCAGUUCCAUGUAUCUAUGGCUCCCGAUGCUGAAUAGGUGCUAUACUUUAGAGACAGUAAAGAGGAUUUGAGUAGAAGAAGUCCGAGCCCAGGUUCAAGAGACUUGGC
RNAcentral lists this long non-coding RNA (2339 nucleotides) under Equus caballus (horse). Its description in RNAcentral is "lncRNA (ENSECAG00000055332.1)". The record is from RNAcentral. Lineage: Eukaryota; Metazoa; Chordata; Mammalia; Perissodactyla; Equidae.